CUUCACCAGACUGAAAGGUCUCUAUAUGAAGUGGAUGACGCCGGAAGAGAAGUCAAAGGAGGACAUUGGAAAUGCCAUUGUGCUCGAGCAGUACCUGAGGAUGCUGAAACCAGAGCUGAGGAGCUGGAUAACAGAGCGCAGUCCAACAUCGGCAGACCGGGCUGUGGAGAUGGCGGAGUCGUUUGUUGCUGCUAGACAAGCUGAGGGUGAAUUCCGGUUCGGGAACUACUACGAGCAACGUCGUCAGACUUUUCCCAGUAAGUUUGGGGGUGGAGCUGGUAGUGGUCCUAAGCUGCAGUAUACCAAAGUAGCCACACAGGGUAACUGGCGUGAUGGCAAAAACAGUGAUAAAGUCACAGUAAACAGUAGGCGUCUGGCUGAAGGAUCGUUAAGGUGCUUUAACUGUGACCAGGUUGGCCACAAAGCAAAUGUAUGCCCCAAGCUUGAGAGUAGCCACAACAGAUUAUGUUACGUUCCUAAAAAAGACACAUGUAGUGAACAACUUGAAAUCAAUUCCGACAGCGUAGUACCUGUAAAAAUAGGUGGGAAAAAAUUCAAAGCCUUAAUAGAUACAGGUGCUAGCCAAACUAUGAUUUCCACAAGAUGUUUACUAGACACAGUGCCAAACUACGCCGGAAAAAUACUGGUAAAAUGUAUACACGGCGAUGAGCAGGUUUACCCAACAGCUGAGGUCAGCAUAGAAAUCAGGGGGCAGGCUUAUAUCCUAAGAGUAGGGGUUAUGCAGAGCUCACCGUAUGCUGUAAUUCUAGGUAGAGACAUACCAAUUUUGGUGGACCUCCUAGCGGAGCAACAAAAUAGAGCAGAUGUGCUGGUAGCAACUAGGCUACAAACUAAACAAGGAAAAGCUCAGGAAGAAGCAAAAUCUUUGCUUAAAGAAAUGCCAUGUAGUGAAGUGGUAAGGACCAAGAAAACUAAACAACAAAAAAGACAGGACAAAGUAAAAGGCACAGUACUGGUCGAAAAUCUAGAAUGUCCAAUUACCGGAACCGAAAUUUUACCCAGCAAUAUAGCACAACUUCAGGGCCAGGACGAGUCACUUAAACCCCUGUUUGCAAAAUGUACAAACAAUAGUACAACAGGUAAAACUGACAGUGGUCUUCUUGUAAAAGAAAACAUUCUUUACAGGGUAAAAGGUGAUUAUGAACAACUAGUGGUCCCAAAAACUCUGAGGCAGCAAGUAAUUAAAUUGGCACAUUCAGAACCAUGGGCAGGUCAUUUAGGACAUGCAAAAACCCUAAGCCGAAUUGCGCGCAGGUUUUACUGGCCUAGUCAACAUCAGGAUGUAGCAGAGUAUUGCAAAACGUGCCCCGAAUGUCAA
RNAcentral lists this long non-coding RNA (1339 nucleotides) under Astyanax mexicanus (Mexican tetra). Its description in RNAcentral is "lncRNA (ENSAMXG00005002886.1)". The record is from RNAcentral. Lineage: Eukaryota; Metazoa; Chordata; Actinopteri; Characiformes; Acestrorhamphidae.